RNAcentral lists this long non-coding RNA (245 nucleotides) under Mytilus galloprovincialis (Mediterranean mussel). The record is from RNAcentral. Lineage: Eukaryota; Metazoa; Mollusca; Bivalvia; Mytilida; Mytilidae.
CAAUGAGCAAAGCCCAUACCGCAUAGUCAGCUAUAAAAGGCCCUGAUAAGACAAUGUAAAACAAUUCAAACGAGAAAACAAACGGCCUUAUUUAUAUAAAAAAAUGAACGAAAAACAAAUAUGUAACACAUAAACAAACGACAACCACUGAAUUACAGGCUCCUAACUUGGGACAGGCACAUACAUAAAUAAUGUGGCGGGGUUAAACAUGUUAGCGGGAUCCCAACCCUCCCCCUAACCUGGGA